AAAAAAUAUUCAUUGAAAACACAAAUAAGAUUAGUUGCCAAUUUCAAUAAAGAUUGGAUUUUCUUUUAACAACAUAUCGACUCCACGAUCUGUGUAUACAAUCAAGAAAAAAAGAAUUUGCUACAUGAUUAUAUUAAAUUAUAAUCUGAUCAAGCAGUUGGUCCUCAAUUAUAAUUAAUAAUUGCAUUAUUUAUAUAUCAUUAUUCAUGUUUUCCCCGCAUGCAUAGCCUCUAUCUUCCUGACAUUAAAUUGACGAGAUGUUGAUUUUCAUAGAAGGAGCCAACAUCCCAAUCCUCAGUUGAGGAUGAAAGGGUCAUUAAGGCAACCACAAUAGAUCUCAUACUCGGACGUAAGUGAGGAUUCUCGUGUGUACAUGCCUUGGCAAGCUGGGCCAUCUUUCGGACUGAAUCAAGUGGAUAGUUAUCUUCAAGCCUUGGGUCAAUCAAUUUGCAAAGCUCUUCUCUAGGAUCAGGUUCAUUAAGAACUUCUUCAAACUGUAAAAACAUUAAAACAAAGGUCAGUUCAUGUGCAUUUUCUGGAAGCUAAUUAAGGCAAGUCAUGGCAAUUAACAGGCUUAGAACUUUGAUGUGUCCUAAACAUAUUUCUCUAGCUUACAAUUCAAUUGAGCUUAUCUAAGCCUUAAUCACAAACAAGUCAACUGAUAAAGAAAGAGGGCAGAAAAUUAACCAAAGCAACAAGGCCCUUUGUUUCAGCACUAGAACCAUUUAUCUUGACAAUUGCAUCCUUCGCAGAAAUAAGUUCAUAAAGGACAACUCCAAAGGCAUAAACAUCCACUUUUGGAGAAACAUCUCCAUAUUGUGCAUAUUCUGGUGGCAUGUAUCCAAAUGUACCCACAAGACGUGUAGGGAGCGAUGAACCUCCAACCUCUGUUAGUUUUGUUAACCCAAAAUCUGCAACCUUUCCACGGAAGUUCUUGUCAAUCAAUAUGUUGGCUGACUUAAUAUCACGAUGGAUAUAAACAGGAACAGUAUGCUCAUGGAUAUAUUCAAGGCCUCUAGCUGAAUCAAGGGCAAUUUGCACCCUAGCAGACCAUGGCAAUGGAUCCCUCCCAGAGCCACGCAAAUGUUGGCUUAAGUUUCCAUUCUCAAUGUACUCAUAAACAAGGAAAAGAGAACCCUCAACACAAUAUCCAAUUAAUCGGACCAGGUUCAAGUGAUGAACAUGUGUUAAAACCUUUAGUUCAGCAAAAAAUUCUUUCGAAGCUUGCAUGUCCAUUUUCUUGAUUGCAGCUUUCUCGUUUCUCAGUUCUGCAUAGUACACAGACCCAAAGCCACCUUCGCCAAUCUUAUUAGCCAUACUGAAGUUAUCAGUAGCCUGGGCAAGUUCUUCAUAUGAGAACUCCACUGAUUUAUCCACAGUUAUGCCAGUAAGGACUGGAGACGGCGCCAGACCGGUUGAUUCCACAGGUUUAUCUGAGUUACUUCCAGGAGCUUGCAAAGCUUGAGCAGAGAGAUCAUUAGAUCCAGAAAGCAAUAUUGCUUUCUUCAACUUCUUUUUCUGAUAAACUCCAAAGUACACAAUAACUGCUACUAACAGCACCACAGCUACUGCCCCUAUGGAUAUGCCAGCAAUAACUCCACCUGCUAUCCCUGUGCUUGAUGUCAGAGGCCGAUAGCUAUUAUUGUCAUCUUUGCCUGGAAUAUAAACCAAACCACUCCCUUGACUAAAAUUGGCACCAACAUUAUAUCUCUGCAGCAAGUUAGCACUGAUAUUGGAUGCAUUUGCAAUAGAAUCAAGAGUAUCUUCAGGCCGAAGUGGGUACGUAAUAAACAAACCAUAAUCCUUUGAAAUCGAACUAUCCCCACAUGAGCAAUUCACGGUGACAUUAAGCGCACCGGUGUCGGGUAUAUUGUUCUCCGGAUAGCUAUUGAACUGCUUCAACCAGUUAACCGUGGUCAAGUUAGAAUAGUACCGGUUGGCGACGACGUCGUAGGUAUCACCAGUUACCACGUUGUACUGAAACACGUGGCCGAGGAAUUCACCGUUGAUACAGUCGCACGGGAAAGGGAUGUUGAUUCUGAUCCCUGCUUGGACACUGUCCAUGUUUGGGACUUGAUCUCUGUUGUAGCUGACAAUUGUGUUGGGCGAUUCUAGAAUGGAUGAUUUCAUAACAUCGGCGAUGAAGGAGAGGUUUGUCCCUUGCCAGACAUAGUAAGAACCCAAAGCCAAAUCGCAGCCUUUGGAGCAUUUGGACUCGGUAAAGCAGCAGAAACAUAGUAGCAGCAAAAACCCAAAGGCGAAUUUUGAUAAUGAAUUCAUUGAGUAAAUUUGGGGGAGAGAUUUUUCUGGUAUGGGAAAGAACAGAAAUUUAAAUUGAAGAAGAAUUUGAUGUAUUCUGUGAAGGGUUGACUGGGUUUUUCAUUAGUUUAAAAACAAUUAGGUUGAUUAGUUGAUAUUGAUGAUGAUUAAGACUUGUUGAAAAGGACAUUCUUGUAGGACUAAAGAAUGGAUUAACUAUUAAGAGAUGAAUGAUUGACGCCGUCGUGUUCUGAGCUCUUCAAUGGAGAAUGCUACAGUGAAUUCACGCGGCUUUCUGGUGUUA
Molecule: unclassified non-coding RNA, 2563 nt
Filed under: Hevea brasiliensis (rubber tree)
Lineage: Eukaryota; Viridiplantae; Streptophyta; Magnoliopsida; Malpighiales; Euphorbiaceae
Source: RNAcentral